GAUGAACGCUGGCGGCGUGCCUAAUACAUGCAAGUCGAGCGAACAGACGAGGAGCUUGCUCCUCUGACGUUAGCGGCGGACGGGUGAGUAACACGUGGAUAACCUACCUAUAAGACUGGGAUAACUUCGGGAAACCGGAGCUAAUACCGGAUAAUAUAUUGAACCGCAUGGUUCAAUAGUGAAAGACGGUUUUGCUGUCACUUAUAGAUGGAUCCGCGCCGCAUUAGCUAGUUGGUAAGGUAACGGCUUACCAAGGCAACGAUGCGUAGCCGACCUGAGAGGCGGAUCACCCACAAUGGAACUGGAGCACGGUCCAGACUCCGACGGGAGGCAGCAGUGGGGAAUGUUGGACAAUGGGCGCAAGGCUGAUCCAGCCAUACCGGGUGGGUGAAGAAGGCCUUGGGGUUGUAAAGCCCUUUUGUUGGGAAAGAAAAGCAGCAGGUGAAGACCCAGCUGGUAUGACGGUACCCAAAGAAUAAGCACCGGCUAACUUCGUG
This 497-nucleotide ribosomal RNA is filed under the name uncultured bacterium. RNAcentral describes it as "partial 16S ribosomal RNA". It matches the Rfam family "Bacterial small subunit ribosomal RNA", at positions 28 to 507 of the family's 1533-position model. The record is from RNAcentral.